UGAUACAAGAACCCUGAAUUCUUCAGAAAGUGAACUUCAGACGAUUUGUGCUGCUUCUGAGAAAUCCCCGCCAGUCAAUCCAAAAAAGCCCGUUUGGUCAUCACAGGAGAGGCAGCCCAUGACAUCUUCCAUCAUCACAGGAGAGGCAGCCCAUGACAUCUUCCAUCUCUGCUCUGGCUAAACAAUCGUGCUCAGAGCUUCCUCUGCUUUAAAGAUGAUCAAGCUGCGCUCAGGCAGUUUUCCCAAGAACCAUAUUUUGAGCUGAAG
This 267-nucleotide long non-coding RNA is filed under the name Populus trichocarpa (black cottonwood). RNAcentral's name for it is "long non-coding RNA (PTRI_LNC000831)". The record is from RNAcentral. Lineage: Eukaryota; Viridiplantae; Streptophyta; Magnoliopsida; Malpighiales; Salicaceae.